Molecule: non-coding RNA, 24 nt
Filed under: Rattus norvegicus (Norway rat)
Lineage: Eukaryota; Metazoa; Chordata; Mammalia; Rodentia; Muridae
Source: RNAcentral
AUCUGGAUGGAGUCUAUUUGGUCC